RNAcentral lists this ribosomal RNA (600 nucleotides) under uncultured Alphaproteobacteria bacterium. RNAcentral describes it as "bacterial SSU rRNA". It matches the Rfam family "Bacterial small subunit ribosomal RNA", at positions 54 to 699 of the family's 1533-position model. The record is from RNAcentral. Lineage: Bacteria; Pseudomonadati; Pseudomonadota; Alphaproteobacteria.
CAUGCAAGUCGAACGAGAUCUUCGGAUCUAGUGGCAGACGGGUGAGUAACGCGUGGGAACCUGCCCAGUAGUAGAGAAUAACUUGGGGAAACUUAAGCUAAUACUUUAUACGUCCUUCGGGAGAAAGCUUUAUGCGCUAUUGGAUGGGCCCGCGUUAGAUUAGUUUGUUGGUGAGGUAAUGGCUCACCAAGGCGACGAUCUAUAGCUGGUCUGAGAGGAUGAUCAGCCACACUGGGACUGAGACACGGCCCAGACUCCUACGGGAGGCAGCAGUGGGGAAUAUUGGACAAUGGGGGCAACCCUGAUCCAGCGAUGCCGCGUGAGUGAUGAAGGCCCUAGGGUUGUAAAACUCUUUCGUCAGGGAAGAUAAUGACGGUACCUGAAGAAGAAGAUCCGGCUAACUCCGUGCCAGCAGCCGCGGUAAUACGGAGGGGUCUAGCGUUAUUCGGAAUUACUGGGCGUAAAGCGAGCGUAGGCGGAUUUGUAAGUUGGAGGUGAAAUCCCAGAGCUUAACUCUGGAACUGCCUUCAAAACUACAUUUCUUGAGUUUGGUAGAGGAGAGUGGAAUUCCUAGUGUAGAGGUGAAAUUCGUAGAUAUUA